GAAAUGCGAUACGUAAUGUGAAUUGCAAAUUCAGUGAAUCAUCGAGUCUUUGAACGCACAUUGCGCCCCCUGGUAUUCCGGGGGGCAUGCCUGUCCGAGCGUCAUUUCUGCCCUCAAGCACGGCUUGUGUGUUGGGCCCCGUCCUCCGAUCCCGGGGGACGGGCCCGAAAGGCAGCGGCGGCACCGCGUCCGGUCCUCGAGCGUAUGGGGCUUUGUCACCCGCUCUGUAGGCCCGGCCGGCGCUUGCCGAUCAACCCAAAUUUUUAUCCAGGUUGACCUCGGAUCAGGUAUGGAUACCCGCUGAACUUAAGC
Molecule: unclassified non-coding RNA, 312 nt
Filed under: plant metagenome
Description: partial contains 5.8S ribosomal RNA, internal transcribed spacer 2, and large subunit ribosomal RNA
Rfam family: 5.8S ribosomal RNA (bases 1-104)
Source: RNAcentral